CCAGAGAUAAGUGAUUAAAAGAAUAGUAGUCAUUCGGGUGACCCCUUGUGGAUGAGUGCUUAAUGCUUGCAGAUGGUUGGUUCUUAUAGCUUGAAAAUGAAAUACAUUGUCCACUAAUACUGCAUUCAUACAUGUAGCUUAUUAUGUGCAGGUAAAGUCCAUUAGUUCUGGCCUAGUCAGGAUUGUUCAUUUUAACAUUUUGCAUUUAAUGGAAGUGCUACAUUGAUUCAUAGUACCUGUGCUCUAAAAUACUUUUGGGGUUUAACAGAGGAUAACUGAAAUUCUAAGAAUAUUUCUUAGGCUAGAAUAUGUGAUAUGGUAGUUACUGGUUCACAUUGUACAUAGUUAUUUUGAACGGUAUAUACAGUACGUAUUGAUACCCAUGGUAUGGUAGUUAUUUGGACCAGUAAUGGCAGUAUCUUGGAACCUGUCAUAGUUCCAUAAGGAAGAAGGGCAGUCGUAAUGAAAAUUAAACCGCGAGUUUAAAGUUCUGGGUUAGGGCAAUCCUAUUAGAUUUUAGCGGUGCCAAAAAACCAAGACAACAUGAAGAAAUCCCCAUCUUUUAGGGUAACAAGUGCUGCCCAGCAACACUGGAAAUUUAGGUUCAUUCCCAGAAAGAGUGCUGCUCCAGGUGCUUGGAACACAUUAAUUGAAAAUCAAAGAUUCUGGCACUUGAUGAGUUUAUAUUCCAUUCGUUUUCUUUUUAAGAAAUUAUUAUUUGGCCGGGCGUGGUGGCUCACACCUGUUAGUUCCAGCACUUUGGGAGGCUGAGGUGGGUGGAUCACCUGAGGUCAGGAGUUUGAGACCAGCCUGGCCAACAUGGUGAAACCCCGUCUCUACUAAAAAAACAAAAAUUAACUGAGCAUGGUGGCGGGUGCCUGUAAUCCCAGCUACUCGGGAGGCUGAGGCAGGAGAAUCACUUGAACCCAGGAGGUGGAGGUUGCAGUGAGCUGAGACCCACCGCUAUACUCAGCCUGGGGGACAAGAACGAGACUCCAUCUCAAAAAAAAAAAAAUUAUUAUUUUUCUUUUUUUUCGUGGUUUUCUAAUGAACUGAUGUUCCCAGGAAAAUAGAUGCUGAGUGCUGAUUGUGAAUGGAACCAGUAAAGGCCUGGGAUAGUCUUAAAGUACAAUCACCUUUGCUGCUAUAAAAACUUCAAAUAAUACUUCAUUUUACUGAUUACAAAAUAAGCCCACAAAAGUCACAGGAUGGUAACAUAUUGUUCACCAGUCUCUUCUCUCUCAUUUUAUUUGUUUAUUUCAGGCUUACUUACUUAUUUAUUGUAUAAAUUUAAUGUGUACACAUGAUGUUUUGAUAUACAUAGUGAAAUGAUUGCUGUAUGUAAGCAAUUUAAGAUACCCAUCAUCUCACAUAGUUACUUUUUUUGUAUGUGCUAGGAACAUUUAAAAUCUACUUUUAGAAAAUUUCUGGUAUAUAAUAUGCUAAUAUUAAUUAUAUUGCUCUUGCUAACUUUAUUUAUUUUUUGAGACAGAGUCUUGCUCUGUCACCUAGGCUGGGGUGCAAUGGCAUGAUCUGCGUUCACUGUAACCUCCACCUUGGGUUCAGGUGAUUCUCAUGCCUUAGCCAUUGGAGUAGCUGGGUGUGUGCUGCCACACCUGGCUAAUUUUUUGUAUUUUUGAGGAGAUGGGGUUUUGCCAAGUUGGCCAGACUGCUCUCGAACUCCCGGCCUCAAGUGAUCUCCCUGCCUCGGCCUCCCACAGUGCUGGGAUUGAUUACAGGCAUUAGCCACCGUGCCCAGCCCUCAUGCUAUAUUUUAGAUCUCUAGAUUUAUUCAUCCUACAUAACUGCAACUUUGUUCCCUUGACCUGCAUCUCCCCUACUCUCCUAGCCACUGUUCUAGUCUCUGUUUCUAUGUAUUUGACUUUUUUUUUUUUAAGAUUCCACAUAUAGAAGAGAUCAUUUAGUGUUUUUUUUUUUUCCUACGUCUGACUUGUGUCACUUAAGACAGUGUCCUCCAGUUUCAUUUGUUUUGUUGUAAAUGGCAGGAUCUCCUUUUUGAAAGCUGAAUACUAUUCCAGAGUGUGUUUGUAUCACAAUUUCUUUAUAGAGCCAUCCACUGACAGACGUGUAGGUUGGUUCCAUAUCUGAGUUAGUGUGAAUAAUGCUGCAGUGAACAUGGGAGUGCAGCUCUCUCUCAGAGGUGCUGCUUUUAUUUCUUUUGGGUUAAAACCGAGAAGAGAGAUUGCUGGAUCAUAUGGUGGUUUUCUUUUUAAUUUUUUUUUUUUUUUUGAGAUGGAGUCUCACUCUGUUGCCCAGGCUGGAGUACAGUGGCAUGAUCUCAGCUCACUGCAACCUCUGCCUCCCGGGUUCAAGUGAUUCUCCUGCCUUGGCCUCCUAAGUAGCUGGGACUACAGGUGCCUGCCACCACACCCGGCUAAUUUUUUUGUAUUUUUAGUAGAGAUGGGGUUUCACUGUGUUAGCCAGGAUGGUCUCCAUCUCCUGACCUUGUGAUCUGCCCACCUCGGCCUCCCAAAGUGCUGGGAUUAUAGGCGUGAGCAACUGCGCCCAGCCCUUUUUAAUUUUUUGAGAAACCUACAUACUGUUUUCCAUAAUGGCGGUUCCAAUUUACAUUUCCACCAACAGUGUUCAAAUAUUCCCUUUUCCCCACUCCCUCAUCAACACUUAUCUCUUGUCUCUUUGAUAAUUGCCAUCCUCACAGGUGUCAGGUGAUACCUCAUUGUGGUUUUGAUUUUUUGAUUUGUGUUUCCCUGAUGAUUAGUGAUGUUGAGGCAUUUUUAUGUCCUAUUUGGAGAAAUAUCUAUUCAAGUCAUUUGCCCGUCUUAAAAUCAGGUUAUUCAUUUUUGUUUUUUGCUAUUGCGUUGUGUGAGUUCCUUACGCAUUUUGGAUAUUAACAGAUACAUAAUUUGCAAAUAUUUUCUCCAAAUCCGUAGGCUACGUUUUCAUUUUGUUAAUUGUUCUUUUGCUAUGCAGAAAUGUCUCUCAUUUUAAAUUAUUCCCAAUAGUAGUAAUGGAAUAAUAAUAAUGGAAUAAUAGUAGUAUAGUAUAGUUUCUUUUUUUCUUUCAACUGGGUUUCAUAAGAGAAUAAACCCAAAUGCCCAAAGACAUUUGGACAUUUGUUAUAUGUAAAUAAUUAACUUUUCUCCAAUGUAGGAUGGCACUAGUUAUGUACCAUCCUUGUGAGAAUUGAGAAAGUAUCCACUCCGACCAUUGUCAAUGUUCUGAGGUUCAGAUAACAAGCCCCAGUUGAGAAAGGUCACGGGCAUUGUCACCAGUUAGAUCUGUUCUUUCCCCCAGCUCCUUCUUCCUUCUACCAGUUAGGUAGAAUGAUGUUAGGCAAGUCUUAAUCUCUUAGUCUCAGUUUUCUGAUCUAUAAAAUGGGAAUAAUUAUAGUUGCUACGUCAUAGGGCUGAUGUGAGGAUGAAAUAAACAAAAUCUUCUACAUCUGUAUUUAUUUAGUUCCAUGACUUUAAAUACUAUCUAUAUGCCAGUUGACUCACAUUUAUGUCUUCAGCCUAAGCCCCCUCCCCAAGAUUGAGUGUCAUAGUUCAUCUGCUUGUUCUCACUUAUACGUGGGAGCUAAAUGAUGAGAAAACAUGGACACACAGAGGGGAGCAACAGUCACUGGGGCCUAUUGGAGAGUGGAAAAUGGGAGGAGGGAGAGGAUCAGGAAAAAUAACUAAUGGGUACUAGGCUUAAUACCUGGGUGAUGAAAUAAUCUGUACAACAAACCCCCAUGACAUGAGUUUACUUAUAUAACAAACUAUCUAAUAGACAUCUCAAACUAAAUUUGUACAACACAGAAGGUAUGAUUCUUAUUCUCAUUAUUUCCUCUGAAUCUGCUCUUAGUAUUAAUAAAUGGCAGGACCAUUCAACUAGUUGCUCAGGCUAGAAUCCUAAGUGAUCUAUGAUUCUCCUUUUUUCUUUAUACCCUUUAACCAGUCUAUUAGCAAAUCAUCUUGGCUCUAUUUUCUGAAUACAUUUCUAAUCUGAUCACAUUUUGUCAUCUCUGCCUUAUUCUGGUUUAAACCACCACCAUCUCCUGUGUGGGUAAUUAUAAUAGUCUCUUAUCUGGUUUCCUUGUUUUCUCACUUGACCUCUUAUAGGCUGUUUUCUACUUCAUAACUAGAAUGACCUUUUCAAAUGUUAAUCACUCCUUAAUACUUUAGAUGACAUCUAAAUUAAAUUACAAUUAUUAUUUAAAAAUUUUUUUUUUUUUGAGACAGAGUCUUGCUCUGUUGCCCAGGCUGGAGUGCAGUGGCAUGAUCUCGGCUCACUGCAACCUCUGCCUCCUGAGUUCAAGCGAUUAUCCUGCCUCAGCCUCCCGAGUUGCUGGGAUUACAGGCACACGCCACCACGCCCGGCUAAUUUUUGUCUUUUUAGUAGAGAUGGGGGUUCACCAUGUUGGUCAGGCUGGUCUCGAACUCCUGGCCUUAAGUGAUCUGCCCGCCUCGGCUUCCCAAAGUGCUGGGAUUGCAGGCGUGAGCCACAGCACCUGGCUAUUUUAAAGUAAUUUAAAAUACAGAAAUUAAAAGAACAGCCAAAUUCCUAGCCAUGACCUGCAAAGUCCUACAUGAUGUAGUCCCUGCCUCCCUCUCCUUGUUUAUUCCACUUCUGCUACAUUGAACUAUCCGUAUUCCCUGACCGGGCCAGGCAGACUCCCAGGGUUUAAAACUUGUUCGUCCCUUUCCUCAAGUUUUUGCACUGCUGGCUCGCUCACAUAAUUCAGGCUUCUGUUUAAAGAGAGUGCCUCAGACUUCACCCCUGUAGAGAGAUCUUCACUGAAUACAGUGUAAAAUAGUGGCCACUCCCUACAUCCCCUAUCUCUCUUGCUUUACUUUUUUUUAUGGCACUUAUGCUUCCUGAAAUAGAAUUACUUGCCUACCUGGUUAUUAUUUGUCUUCCUUACUAGAAUGUAAACUCCAUGAAAGCAGGAACCUUGGAUAUGUUGUUUAUUCCACUGCCUAGAAAAGUCCCUAGCAUGUGGUAAACUAGGAGUACAACUCCAGGAAGUUGUCUGUGGAGUAAAACUGUCUCUAAAUUAGAUUAUCUGAUUUUUUUUUUUUUUUUUUUUUUUUGAGACAGGGUAUCACUCUGUCUCCCAGGCUGGAGUGCAGUGGUGGGAUCAUGGCUCAUUACAGCCUUGACCUCCCAAGACUCAGGUGAUCCUCCCACCUUGGCCUCCAGGGUAGCUGUGACUGCAGGCGUGCACAACCACACCCUGCUACAUUUUUUUUUUUUUUUUUUUUUGAGACAGAGUCUCACUCUGUUACCAGGCUGGAGUGCAGUGGUACGAUCUCGGCUCAUUGCAGCCUCUGCCUCCUUGGUUCAAGUGAUUCCCCUGCCUUAGCUUCCCAAGUAGCUGGGACUACAGGUGCAUGCCACCAUGCCUGGCUAAUUUUUUGUGUGUUUUUAGUAGAGAUGGGGUUUUGCUAUGUUGGUCAGGAUGGUCUCCAUCUCCUGACCUCGUGAUCCGCCCGCCUCAGCCUCCUAAAGUUCUGGGAUUACAGGUGUGAGCCACUGCACCCGGCCCCCUGCUAAUUUUUUUAGGGAUGAGGUCUCACUCUGUUGCCUAGGCUGGUCUCAAACUCCUGGGUUCAAGUGAUCCUCUCACCCCAGCCUCCCAAAGUGCUGGGAUUAUAGGCAUGAGCUAAUGCACCUGGCUAGUUCAAGUAAUUCUUAAGCUAAAGGAGGACUGUUGAGUCAGUUAAACAAUGCUGUGAAUUCUUUGCAUUGAGUACUUACAUGUGAAAUGUUAGAAUUUAGAAUUUAUAACAUUAUCAAGAGCAUAUAAUUGUUCAUCGAGUGUGCUAAGUAAUAUGUGAAAACAAAACUUGAAUUUUUAGCUCUUGUUCUGGUUGCAAGUGUUUAAGCUAUUUGUUGUCCCCUAAUGAUAAUGGUAGUAAUGUUAAUGUAGUAGUAAUAUUUCCUCUUGUUUCUGGUAAGUUAUUUUUCCUCACCCUAAACUCCUGAUUUAAAGUCUCUGUUAAGCUGGGCAUGGUGGCAUGCCUAUAGUCCUAGCUACUUGGGAGGCCAAGGCCGGAGAACUGCUUGAGCACAGGAGUUCAACACUAGCCUAGGCAGCAUAGCAAGACCUUGUCUCAAAAGCAAAAAAAAAAGGAUAACGUCUCUGUUGCUUUUGAUUUUUUUGAGAUACAUUGUUGUUUUUAAACAAAUACAGUAGUAUUUAUGGAAGGCUUUUUAAAGUUUUGCCGUAUUUUAAGACCUUAGUCCCUGUACCAUAAAACUCUUUGGUGAUGGCCACUUUUAUUUGAUAUAAUUCAAGUAAGCAGCCUUGAUAACUGAUAGCAUUGGAAAUAAGUGGUUAACCUAAUUUAGAACUAGGAAGAUUAUAUUUCAAUGUUAAUAAAAUUUAGAAGCAUCGUGGGCCGUUAUCUUUUUUAUGAAGUAUCAUUGAACUUUGUUAUAUAACCAAGUAUUCAGUCAUGUAUAAUGAAAUUUAGUCAGUAAUAUGAUCAUAGUAUCUGCCUUCUCAAAAUUUGCUCAUUCUUUUGGAAAGAAUGAGGGAUGGAGAAUGAUGGAAAGAUUUGUGUAAUUUAAUGAUGGUGGUGUGGUGGGGGAGUAGACAGAUGCACAUAUAAAGGAAUAACACUAGCACACUGAACAUUUACUGUGCAGUCACUGUUCUAAGAAGUUUCAUGUAUUUUUUUAUUUUUAAAUUGGCAGAUAAAAUUGUAUGUAUUUCUUGUGUGCUACAUGAAGUUUUGAAGUAUAUAUACAUUGUGGAAUGACUAAAUCUAGCUAAUUUACAUAUACAUUACUUCAUUUAGUCAUCAUUUUUGUGGUGAGAACACUUAACAUCCACUCUCUUAGCGUUUUUCCAUGUAUUAUUUAACGCACGUUUAAACUUAUGGGGUAAAACCUUAUUUGCAGAUAAGGAAUUUGAAGCACAGAGAGGUUAAGUAACUUGCCUAAGAUCAUGCAGCUAGAAAGUGAUGCAGACUGGAUGAGAAUUCAGAAAUGAAAAAAUGUUGGUGGAGACUAGCGGGGGCAGAGCAUAGACAUGGCCAGCCUCAAUGACAUAGUUUUGGCUGAUAGAAAACCCCAUCCAAGUAUUGUCAUGUGGGCAGGACCAUGAUAUAUGGGUGUUCAGGAAUUCAUGGUGACAAUGAGACGGAACUUUAGAGACUACCUAUUGCUUUGAUUUCUUAAAGCAUGUUUCUAGUUCUGUUUUGCCAAGGAGAGGAAUAGAUGUUAGAAGAGAACAGUAAUUGGUGUAAGGACUGGACUUCGCUAUUAAAAAGUGAAUAUUAGUGAAUCUUUAUGCCUUGAAAUACGAAGCUUUUCUUGGUAGACCUUGAAACCUAAUGAUAUUAAGGAGCAAGGUUAAGCAAACUGUCUAGAGUGCAAAUAGAGAAUAACAACUUACAUUUAUUUAUAGUUUUUUAGUUUAUAAAAUACUUUUGUAAACAUUUUCUCAAUUGAUGUGAAUAACACCUCUGUGAGACAGGCAGGCAGAUGUUAUUCUUCCAUUUGACAAAUUUCCAUGGAAGAGAGAGGGAGCUGCCUUAGGAAUGAGCCCCUGAAUAAUCUCAACCUCUAGUUGUUCUUUUUUUAAUGAUGCAACCAGAAAUGAACUGGUUCUGGUUCUGCAACCAAAGCCUAGAAAUUGCUAUUUCUUUGUAAAGUUGCCAGAGUAUGAGUAGUGGUCUUCUAUGUUAUAUGGUACUGCAGGUUUGAUCUCUAAAGUAAGUGAUUGGAAAGCUGCUUAAUCUGGAAGCAGAAGUGCUUGGCAUUACGAAUGGGCCAAGAUGGCUUAUGGUAAUUGGCAUGUUCUUAAAUAAUGUUUGUUAUACCAAAAGCCUAGGCGUUUUACAUAAAUUUAGAUUAAAACUAUAAUUCUAAUGGCAGCACUAUAAUAUCUUUUAAACCAAUAUUUUAAUUAAAACCUACUAGUAGGCUGCAGUAAUACUGAAGUGGUUUUGACUGUAUCAUGGAUUAGCAUAGAGGUGGGGCACUUUACUCUUUAGAAGUUGAAAAAGAAAGUCUGGUAGCUUCUAAAAAGGCAGAUAUGUGGCAGUAGUGAAAUGUUGAUAAAAGUUUAGUAUGUCCCAUUUCUCUUGUUCUUUUGAGAAUAGUUUGAAAUACUUUGGUUAAUUUAAAUUGGUCUAAGAUAUUAAGAAGGAUUUUUCAAAACUCUCAAAGCUACGCCAUAUAAAGGAAUAAAAUCCAAUAUGAAUUCACAGAAUCACUUAGCUUUAAAGUAAUUGAUUAGUGACAAAAUGUGACUUAGUUUUGCAAAAAUCUAAGAAAUUGGUGAAUAUUUUAUAUUUUUAUAUUCGUAUUUAAGAUGUCUUUCAGUUCUUUCUGUUAUUUUUUCCUGGUGCUGUCUUGUACUGCCUCCUUAUCACCUCCCUCUUCCUUUUCGUCUGCCAUCUGUCGGUUUGGCUCCUUAUUUCAGAGUAGGCAGGCAGGAAAGGGUUUUUGUACACAAGAUAAAACUAGUGCUGUUUGGGAGCUCAGUGAGCCGGAGUGCUUUAUGCAGUAACUCUGCUGACAAUAAAUUCCAGAAGUACCAUAGGCCCAUAGGACUAGAAAGACAGCAAUGAUUCUGCAAUAUUGUCUGCAAUUUUUUUUCUGUGACUGUUGCUUUAUUUAAUAAAAAAAAUUUAAAAAUAAAUAAUACUUAAACACUUUUUUUCACAGAGAGCUAUAAAUUGGUUAGAUAUUGUUAACAGACUUGCAAAUAAGAGUAAUUAUUAUAUAGGAGAGCUUAGCAUGUUGAUUACUUGUGAAGUUCAUGUCAAAUGAUUCCUUAUGGUAUUCUAGAAAUAUAAUUUGAUGUUAGUAAAUUAAUACUCACUUGUGCCUGACUCUGGAUUAAUCUAUUAUGGGAAUAGGUAGAUACUAUGAUAAUUCAAUUCCCAUACAGCAUUUUUUCUUAUCUUUUUAUUAUAGUAUAUUUUAAAUAUAUAUUAACAUAAAAGUAGAGGGAAUAGUAUAAAGAGCUCCCAUGUACCCAAUAUUGAACUUCAAGAAUUAUCAACUCAUAGGCAGUCUUGUUUCAUCUAUAUUUCUAUCUAGCACCCCUCAUCCCCAAUCCUUGGAUUGUUGUUGUUAUUAUUAUUUGAGACAGAGUCUCGCUGUGUCACCCACACUGGAGUGUAGUGGCGCGAACUUGGCUGACUGCAACCUCCAACUCCUGGGUUCAAGCGACUCUCGUGCCUCAGCCUCCCAAGUAGCUGGGAUUACAGGCAUGUGCUGCCCCGCCCGGCUAAUUUUUGUAUUUUUAGUAGAGAUGCGGUUUUGUCAUGUUGGCCAGGUUGGUCUCGAACUCCUUGCCUCAGGUGAUCCACCUGCCUCGGCCACCCAAAGUGUUUGGAUUACAGGUGUGAGCGACCACACCCGGCCUCUGGAUUGUUUUAAAUCAAAUCCUUGACAUACGUAAUGUUUACCUUUCAGAUAUUUCAAUAUUGAUUUUUAAAAGAUAAGAGUGUCUAUCUCUUUUUAUAGCAUAACCAUAAUAACAUUAUCAUACCAAAAAAUGUAUAGCAAGUUCUUAAUAUCAAAUAUGAAUCAGGCUUCAUAUUUCUCUGGUUUAUAGAUAGAUAUAGAUCUAUAGUUUAUUUGCUUGAAGUGACAUCCAAAUAAGGUUCAUACUUUACAGUAGUUUGGCAUGUUUAUUACAUCAUUUUAAAUCUUUAGACUCUCUUCAUCUCUUUUUUUUCUUAUUUUUUAAAAGAAAGCAGGUUGUUUGCCCUGAUAAGUUUCCCUUAGUCUCAUUGCAUCUCUGUAAUGUCAGUUAACAUGUUCUUCCUGUCUCCUGAAUUUCCUGUAAAUUGAUAGGUUGGUUUGUAUUUUUUUUUCCCUCUCAGUAAGAGUACUUCAUAGGAGUGAUUUUUGUUUCCAUCGGGAGAUAUGUAAGGUCUUAUGUCUCUUUGUGAUGUUAGCAGCUGUUGAUGAUAAUUGCUUAGACUUCUUAAUUCAUCAGUGAUUGCAAAAUUGUGAAAUUCUAUUAUUCCUUCUUCAUUCAUGUGUUAGAUGGCAUUUUCUUUUUUAAGUAUUUCUUCAACCCUGUAAGUUGUAUGUUUAGGACACUGUAUGCCAGCACUGGUACUGGGAUGAUUGGCAAGGUUCUGUGGUGGAAUUCCUUUAAAGGAAGAGUGCAAGUCUUCAUUAUUGAUAAUUUGGGAAUGUUGAAUAAAUACACUUUAUUUAAAGGAUGUUGGUAAAUAAAUAGGUUAAAAUCUCAUCAUGAAAUAAAUAGCUUGUGACUUAGAGUAUGGAGCUGGUCACUGAUGUUUGUUCUUUUUAAGAGGACAAUGUUGAUAUUCAGAAAUUUCAAAAGUAAUUUGUGCAGGGCAGUAGUUACUAGUUUCUUGAGCCAGAUUUCUCAGCAUGAACUUGAGAACAGACCUUUUGUGUGAAUCAGAUUAAUAAAAUAUUGAGUUUACAUAAGACAGCAUAUUUUUAUUAAAAGCUGUCAAAGAACUGGAGCAGCAGCAUUUCCCAAUGUGGCUCCUUGACAAAAGGGCUCUGGAGUCGAAUAAACUUGGGAAACAAUGUGUACUUUAUUCUCUCUUGGAAUGUCAAGUACAUAUUAACAUGUAAAAGACUUACAGUAAAGAAGCCUGUUUAACAUUAAAUUAGUAUUUUCCAAAUUUAUUUGAUCUCUGAACCUUUUUUCCUCCUUAUAACAUCUUGAGGAACUAGUGAUCUGAGGAACAAGUUUUGGGAAAUGUUAGGUAUAUGGUUUGGCUGUGUCCCCACCCAAAUCUUAUCUUGAAUUUUAGUUCCCAUAAUCCCUACGUGUGGGGGGAGGGACCCGGUGGGAGGUAAAUGAAUCGUGGGGAUGGUUACCCUCAUGCUGUUUUCCUGAUAGUGAGUUCUCAUGAGAUCUGAUGGUUUUAAAAGGGGCUUUCCCCCCUUUUGCUAGGCACUUCUCCUUCUUGCCCCCAUGUGAAGAAGGAUGUGUUUGCUAACCCCUUCUGCCAUGAUUGUAAGUUUUCUGAGGCCUUUCCAGCCCUGUGGAACUGUGAGGCAAUUAAACCUCUUUCCUUUAUAAAUUACCCAGUCUUGGGUAUUUCUUCACAGCAGCAUGAGACCGGACUAACAUGUUAGGUUAGAGGAUUUGAACAGAGUAAAAAAAAUAUAUCCAACCAUGAAGAGUGUGUUUGACUUCACUACAGUGAUAUGGAGAAACUUUUGAUAGGUAAAUAAGACAUUUUUCAGUGAGAAAAAGCCAGAGGCAAAUGUUGAAAAGGACUUCAUCAGUCACUAUGUAACAUUUACUACAUCCAGGCACGGUUUUCAUUACUUUACACAACCUUCUGCAGUAGGCAUACUCUUGUUAUACCUAUUUUAUAGAUGAGGAAACUGAGGCACAGAAAGAUUAAGUAAAUUGUUCAAGGUUACAUUGCAGAGUUAGUGACAUAGCAAAGCCAGGAUCUAAACCUAGGUAGCCUGGCUUCAGGUUUCAUGUGCAUAGUAUAGUCACUACUCUAUAUUGCAAGAUAUGGAAGGUGGAGAGCGUGAAAUAUAAAUUAGAUUAAGAGGGGAUUUAAAGUCUUUUUGGAGGGAACGGACAUAUUUAACUUUUAGACAAUCAGAGCCAUAAGAGACGAAUGUGGAGAGUUGGCUACGUCCUAGUGAAGAUAGAAAGCAUGAAGACCUGGGAACCAUUAUCCAUAAAACAAGGUAUACUUCUAGGGGAGGUAGAUUAGAUGCAGGUAGAAGGCUGAGUUAAGAGGACACUGUUAAUACAGAAUUUCAGAUUUAGAAAUGCUUUGGAACUCAUUUAGGACCCCACUCAUUUUAUACAUGAGAUCUGAGGUUAUACAGUUUUAUUCAUGAACUUGUAAUAAUCAUAGCUCACAUUAGUACAUUGCAUUAAAAUACUUUCAUAUGAAUUCUUAUUUGAUCCUCUUAACAAUUUUGAGACGUAGACAGGUAGGUUUCAUAUUUUCCACAGCAGAGCUGAUUCUUGGAUUUAAAUUUUCUGCAUCUUGAAAGCUAAUGUUGGCCGUGUGUGGUGGCUCACGCCUGUAAUCCCAGCACUUUGGGAGGCCGAGGCGGGCAGAUAACUUGAGGCCAGGAGUUCAAGACCAGCCUGGCCAACAUGGCAAAACCCUGUCUCUACUAAAAAUACAAAAACUAGUACAAAAAGUAGCUGGAUGUGAUGGUGCACGCCUGUAAUCCCAGCUACUCGGGUGGCUAAGGUAUGAGAAUUGCUAGAAACUGGGAGGUGGAAGUUGUGGUGAGCUAUUGUGUCACUGCACUCCAGCAUGGGCAGCAGAGCCAGACUGUAUCUCAAAAAAACAAAAACCUCCAACCCCCUCCCCCACCCACAAAGCUAAUGUUGUCUAUACUAAAUCACAUUGCCUUAGUUCUUGGCAAAUAACAUGUAUUAAAGAAGAGUAGUGUGUGCUCUUGAGAUGAGGAUUUGGGUCACAAAGAAAAGUUGCAUUUUAACAAAUGGAAAUAACUCCCUUCUAAGUGUGAAAAGUAAUAUAUUUGUUGUAAAAAAUGAUUUUUAGAUAGUGGGAAAGGUGAAAACCAUCUGUAAUCCCACCACACAGAAUAAUCAUUGUUAAAUUAUGAUGUAUAGUUGUCCAGAUUUUUAAUAGGUCUAUUUAUAUACAGAAAUACUCUUUUCCAAAUUCUGUACAUAUAGUUUUAUAACUUAAAAUACUGUACUCUUUUUUUGUUGUUGUUUGUUUUUUGUUUUUUGAGAUGGAGUUUUGCGCUUGUCACCCAGGCUGGAGUGCAAUGGUGCGAUCUCAGCUCACUGCAACCUCUGCCUCCUGGGUUCAAGCCAUUCUCCUGCCUCAGCCUCCCAAGUAGCUGGGAUUACUGGCACCCGCCACCAUGCCCUGCUAAUUUUUGCAUUUUUUGUAGAGACGGGGUUUCACCAGGCUGGUCUCAAACUCCUGACCUCAGGUGAUCCACCUGCCUCGGCCUCCCAAAGUGCUGGGAUUACAGGCGCGAGCCACCAUACCUGGACAAAAUGCUGUAUUCUUGAAAGAGGACAUUGAUAGGCAUUUGAUCUCCUGCCUCUGCCACAGUAAAAUGGUACAUACAGAAACACAGGCAUACAAUGGUAAUGUCCUGGGCAAACUGGGAUGGAUAGUUUCCUCUCCUCUUCUUCCCACACUAAUAGCUGACCUGUUAGUAAAGGCUAGGUGAGUAGGUAAAAAAUUAUUUGGGGUUAGGUUAAUUUAAGGAGACAAUGAGUAGUGUAAAUCUUCAUUUUAUUGUUUUUUCUUUAGACUUUGGGGUUAUUGAUUAUUUUUUGGGUUGAUAUUAAAAAAAAACCCUUUCGCACUAUCCUAGAUUAAAAGAUAAGUAACUCAGAUUUUGUAAACAUUAAGAAGAAUAAAGUGUGGCUCUUUUGGAGUAAUCUAUGUAUGGGCUCUUUUAGUGUGUGUACUUACGAGUUUGUGUGUGUGUGUGUGUGUGUGUGUGUGUGUGUGUGUGUCCAUCUCUGAUUAUCAGUACUGUUGUAGUGGUGGGAGGGAAAAGAACCUGUUGUGUUGUAAAAUGGAUUUUUGUACUUGAAGUCAAUUCUUGAGAAACCACCUGUAGAUUCUUUAGCAAAUCUUCCUGAUUUAUUGACAAUAUCUAAUAAUUUGCUUUGUUAAUCAUUCUCUCUGCCCAAGCAGAUUUUUAUGAAGGUCUUAUUUUGAAAAUCUUCUUUUUGAGGAUUGGCAAUAUGUUUCAUUUAUGUAUCUCAAUAUCGUUGAUUGUAAGUUGAUGGUAAGGUGUGUGUUUUUAGCUAUUCUAGUUCCUUACUCUUUCCACUUAAAAUUUUAAAAUAAGGUUGCUUAUAACUCCAAAAAAAUCUUUCUGGUAUUUUGUUAAGUAUUACAUUCAAUUUAUAGAUCAAUUUGGGGGACAGUUGACAUUUUAUAAUAUUUAGUCUUCGAAUCUAGGAAUGUGGCAUGUCUUUCCAUCUAUUUUGAUUAUCUUUGAUUUCUUUCCUUAAUAAUUUUUUCGUUUAUUAUUUUUAUUUUUUCUUUAUAAUUUUUAGCAUGUAGAUCCUGUUCGUUUUGUUAAAUUUGUACCUAUGUCUUUUAUUUAAAAAUGUUUAAAAACCUUUUUUAAUCAAAGUAUAAUAUACAUUCAUAGAAGUGAAGCUUACUAGUGUGCAGCUUCAUGAGUUCCACAGGGAUGGAUUUAUUUUCAUAUUCUGCUUAUUUUUUGUCAACCUGAGAGAUUCUCAGGAGGGAGUUAGAUACAGUUCAAGAUGAGGAAACAGGAGAAACUUCCCAUUUCCUUUUGAAUCAGAUCUUUAUAGUGUGACUUCAGUGUGUUGUGUGAAAGUGAAUUCUCAAGGCAAUAGAUGUAUUCAAAGAAAAGUAAGCCCAUACACAUUUCCAAAUCAGUUUGGCCUUUUAGAUUUUCCCUGCUAAAACUUACCUCCAGUCAUGUUACAAUACAGAUUUGCCUAGAUAUUUUCUAACAUAGGAAUUCCUACUGUUUUGAAACAAUGGAAAUGUGGGUUGAAGAUUUAAGAGAUGGAAGGUUGUGUCUUCCUAUGAUUUUUGGUGAACCAGGCUAUUCGCUGCCCUUUAGCUUCCUUCUGUGUAAUUUGUAAAAACACAACCCUAAGUAAACUUGUCAUCUUGCUGUCUGGCUUUUCUCUUACUUGUAGGAAGGGUAGGCAACUUAGUGUCUAUGUUUAUGGGAACAGUGUUUUUCUGCCAGCUCAUUUUUGAGCGAGAGUUACAAAUCUGGCUCUAAAUUUAUAGAGAUGGAUUCACUGUAAUUACUUAAAAAUGAUUAUGUUGUAAGGAAAUUAAAAGUAAGAUUUGUUUAAUACAGAUACUCCUGGGAAUGAAUGAGUUUAUUACAUAUGCUCCAUCAGGAAGAACAUGGUUAACAAUAGAAAAACCAUGUUUAUCAUUUAAUUCCUAUGUAUACUUUCAUUGUCAAAGAUAACCUUUGUUUUUUCCUUUCUGUUUUUUUUUUUUUUUUUUUGGAGACGGAGUCUCACUGAGUCGCCCAGGCUGGAGUACAGUGGCGCGAUCUCGGCUCACUGCAAGCUCCACCUUCUGGGUUCACGCCAUUCUCCUGCCUCAGCCUCCUGAGUAGCUGGGACUACAGGCACCUGCCACCACACCCGGCUAAUUUUGUAUAAUUUUAGGAGAGACGGGGUUUCACCAUGUUAGCCAGGAUGGUCUCGAUCUCCCGACCUCGUGAUCUGCCCGUCUCGGCCGCCGAAAGUGCUGGGAUUACAGGCGUGAGCCACCGCGCCCGGCCCCUUUCAUCUUUUAUGUUACCGGGGCUCAGCUGUGCCUGAUUCAGCUGUUUCUAUACUCCUCCCCAAAUUCUGAUUUUGAAAAUUUCUCAGAUUUAUAGAAAAAAUGAAGAAUAGCGCUUUUCACCUAGAUUCACAAAUUGCAACAUUUUGGUGCAACUGCUUUUUUCCUCCCCUCUAAACAUGCAUACAUUUUGCUUUAAGUGAGACUAAUUUGUAGUCAUCAUGAUCCUCCCUGUCCUCUCCCAGUACAUUGGCAUGUAUCUUCUAAGAAGAAGGACAUUCUCCAACUUAACCACAAUACUUUUAUCACACCGAUGGAAAAUAACAUUAAUUCAUUGUCACCUAAUAUGCAACAUUUGUGUUUAAAUCUUUCUUGUUUCCCACAUAUCUUUUAUAGUUGCUUUUUGUUUUUUUCGGGUCCAGGAUCCAAUCACAUUCAUAUAUUGCUUUUGGUGUUUAUGUUUCUUUAAAUCUAGAGUAAACCCCAGCCUUUUUUUUUCCCAAAUGACAUUAACUUUAUUGAAUAAUCUAGGCCAGUUGUCUUAUACAAUGUCCUACAAUGUGAAUUUGCCUCUUGGUUCUUUAAUAUCACAUAUUCAAGUUAAACAUUUGCUGCAUUAACACUAUGUAGGUGAUGUUAUGUACUCCUUAAAUCACCUCAGGAGGCACUCAGUGCCAUUUUCCUUCUUUAUAGGUAAUGCUAAAUUUGAUUGCUUAAGGUGGUGACUAUCACCAGAUUAUUUCUUUGCAAAUGUACACUUUUUUCCCCUUUGUAAUUAAUAAACAAUUAGGUGGUGGUAUUUUGAGAUCACGUGAAAGUUGUCUCUCCUACAACGCUUUCCCAUUGGUUUUAGCAUCCAUAGAAAACUAUCUUUGCCCUUUUUUUAAAUUAAAAAAAAGAAGCAAUAUAUGCAAAUGUUAAGAAACUUACAUAGUAUAAAAAAGGUUAUAGCAAAAGAUAUAUCUCCCUUUCAUUCAUUCAUACUGUAUCUUCAUUUUCCUAGUUUUUCCCAGAGUUAACUGUCAUUGGUUUCUUAUGUGUCUUCCAGAGAUUUUCAACCACUCUAGUAAUGCAUUCAUAUAUAUAGCCCCUCUUUUUUUUUAUUUUUACACAAAUGGCUUAUUUCAUGAAACAUAAUAGUUUAAAGAUCUCCUCAUAGUAUAUAUCAAAAUUUCAUUUCUUUUUAUGGCUGAGUACUAUUUCAGUGUAUGUGUAUACACCACAUUUUGUUUAUCCAUUCAUCUGUUGAUGGACAAUUGGUCUAUUUCUGCCUUUUGAUUAUUAUGAAUAAUGCUCCUAUUAACAUUGGUGUACAAAUAUCUGUUUGAGUCUCUGCUUUUAAUUCUUUUGUAUGUAUACUUUGAUGUGGGUGCUUGGUCUGCAUCUUAAUGUAUUUUUAACUUAGUAUAUCAUAGUAAUCAUUUUCAACUUAAUACAUUCCAAAUAAUUGUAGAUCUUCCUCAUUCAUUUUAAUGACUGCCUUGAAUUCUAGUAUAUGUGUAUAAUUUAUUUAACCAGUUUAUUAUUUGUGGACUUUAGAUUGUUUCCUGGCUGGGUGCAGUGGCUCACACCUGUAAUCACAGCACUUUGGGAGGCUGAGGCAGGAUUGCUUAAACCCAGGGGUUCGAGACUAGUCUGGGCAACAUAGUGAGACCUUAUCUCUAUUUUAAAAAAGCAGAAAACAAAAAACGUCAUUUCCCCUUUUCAUUGCUUUUAUUACUUUUUUUUUUUUUUUUGCUAUUCUAAACAAGGCUGCAAUGAAUAGGAUAUUUCUUAGUUUAAACAGUACUUUGUUUCUUGAUUAAAACUACACUAAGAAAAUGUUGACUGAGCCUAGUCCUGCUGAGUAUACCUUCUAAAUGUCCUUAAAAUUCAACUCCGUACAAGUUCAAUAUAUUGUUCCUCUUUUAUUUUAGGCCCAUAUUUCUCAACUCAACUUUUGCAGUGGCCCAGGAUUGGUCUGUUGUGUCCUGGCCAUUCUUUCUCUUCAUUAUCUUAGUGUUAUCCACAGCUCCUGAUGUGUAGCCUUGUUAUGGGAACAUUAUCAUAUUGUACUGUAAUUGCUUAUGUAUCUUUAUAUGCUUUGAGGUUCUGAGUCUUUUAGGAGCACUGCUUUGUAUGCAGUGGAAUUUACUAUGGAUAAAUCUUGCACAUUCUUGUUAGGUUGUUUGUAGUGGUAAGUCAGAAUACCUUUAUUAAAAUUAACACAUAAUUACAGAUUUAGAAAAAUGUACAAAUAGGACUGACCCUUGGUUCAUUAGAAUAUACUAGGGGUUCAUGCCUUUAUUUUUGUUUAUUUUUUGAUGAAGAGGUUAAAGGUAACUUUGAAGCCAGUCAGUGGUUGAUACUAUUGUGUCUUCCCCCUCCAUCCCUAUUUCUUUUGAUACCAUUAACUCUUUCAGAUAAUCUUUUGAAUUUUAUUUUUUUCUCCUUAAAAUCAUACUCAUAUGUAAGUAUUCUGUGACUAUUUGAGGAGCUAGCCAGAGUACUUACUUCUGAUAUUUUUGCUAUUUCUUCAUUUUUUAUUUUAGGGAGGCCAUAAGAAUGAGUUCUUGAAGUAUCAAUUGGAUAUAACAUUGGGAGUUCUGUGAGGAUAAAUUUACUAAAAAUGUUGAUUGUCAUGAUGUAGGCUUUCCUUUAUAGUUGCUAACAGAUUGAUGGUUCUAAAGACAUGGGAGGUGAUUUUUUUCUACAGACAAUAUGAUAAGGACCCUCAGGAUCUUCAUUCCUCUAGAAAGUAUACUUCUGUUGACAUCUAGUGUCUGCUUUGUGGCCACUGGUCAGCUGCAAAUUAAGGUAUUUGUGUGUGCUGACAUUUCUGUUUGCAUUUCUGGAUUAAUUGUAUCUAUUACCGUAACAGACUGUUGAACUUGACAAGUGGAUAACUUACUUUACUCUUUUUUUUCCCCAAAGAUCCUUUCGUUAAAAAGUAUAUUGAUGAGCAGUGUACAGUGGCUCACGCCUGUAAUUCCAGCACUUUGGGAGGCUGAGACAGGAGGAUUGCUUGAGGCCAGGAGUUUGAGACCAGCCUUGGCAACAUAGUGAGACCUUGUCUCUGGAAAAAAGAAAAAAAUUAGCUGAGUGGUAGCAUGUGCUUGUAGUCCUAGCUACUCAGGAUGCUGAGGCAGGAGGAUCACUUGGACCCAGGAGUUCAAGGCUCCAGUGAGCUGUGAUUGUGCCACUGCAGUCUAAUCUAGGCAACAGAGCAAGACCCUGUUUCUUUGAGGAAAGAAAAAGUACGUUGAUGUUCUAAAAAAGAAACCACCCAAGUUUGAUAGCAGCCGUUAUUCAGAAUCAUUACAUUGAAAACAAAAUCAUUAAAAACAUAAUAAAUUUGCUUAUAGCUGCUUGUCACAAACUUUUUGUACUAGGACAUUGUAGUGAUGUAUUUUUUUUUUUUUGUCAACUAGAAUUACUAUAAUGUUAUGCUAAACUUCCAUAAAGGAAUACAAAAGAAGAAACUUAAAAUAGCUGAUGUUACUUACCUUUAGGGGAUAUAUGAUGAACAAUUAGAGACCAUAUAGGGUAACAACUAAUAUUUAUUUUCAAAGUAGUUCCUUGUGACAGAUACAGAAAUUCCAAGAUAAGAAAGAUAAUUGAGGGUUAAGGUUGUUCAAGCAGGUUUAAUUUGGGCAGGGGGCGGGGGAGGUAGGAUUUGAAUUAGUAACUGUAGGAAGUAUAAGUGGAAAGGAAGGGGCGGGCAUUACAGAGGACAACAGCAUGAGUGGGGGCACAAAGGUAGGAUUGAACAUAUCUCAACUGAGUGAUGUAGGAAUUGGUAGGAAUUCCUACCUGACUAGAGCAGAGACAGUUGGGGAGUGUGGUGUGGUAAAAUUUAUUAGGUUGGUGGGGACAGUUGAUUGUGAACCUUAAGCAGACUAAGUGAUUUUAAGCCUGGGGAGCUAUCUACAUCAGUGAGGGUCCUGACAGGAAAUAAAUGGACUAGUUGUAGAGUUUUGGGAAGGGUUAAGGAGAGCAGCAGAGUAUUGUCAUGUUCCCAAGGCCUAACACUAUUGGGAAGCCAUUAGUACACUUUUAAGUCUGAGGGGAAAAGAAGAGGAACACUGGAAACUGAUGAGAGCUGGAGCAAUGGAAGCCAAGCUAGUGGUCAGGACCUGUAGCCCUAGAGGAAAUGGCUUUGUGAGGUGGGAAGGGAGCUAGAGAAAUGAAAACCCCAAUUUCUUUUACUUCUCAUCCUCCCAUUUCCUCCUAUGUGUGCCUCUCAAUGGCCCAAUGCAACUGGAAGUAAGAAGAGAACUUGGGCAGUGUAAUGCCAGAGGACAGCCUCACAGGGUGCAAAGCAGAGCUUGAAGGGUAGAGAAUAGGCUUGAUUUGAGGAGGUUGGGGGCAAAUAGAGAAUGCCUAGUCCAGGACCCAUUUUAAAUUAUUGCAAAUUUAUAAAGUAGGGUAGUGUUAUAAUGAAAAUGCUCUUGGAGGAAGAUUUGGUUUAGUGGAUUUUGAGCCUUAAAAAAAUCACUCAGGCCGGGUGUGGUGGCUCAUGCCUGUAAUCCCAGCACUUUGGGAGGCCGAGGUGGGUGGAUCACCAGGUCAGGAAUUCAAGACCAGUCUGGCCAACAUGGUGAAACCCUGUCUCUACUAAAAAUAUAAAACUUAGCCGGGCGCGGUGGCGCAUGCCUGUAAUCCCAGCUGUUUGGGAGGCUGAGGCAGGAGAAUUGAAGAGUGAGCUGAGAUCACACCACUGCACUCCAGCCUGGAUGACAGAGCAAGACUGUCUCGGAGUGGGUGGGGGCAAUCUCUCUCUGGGCAGAGUUCCAACUUACAACAACAAAGGCAGAAUGCAAUCUAUUAUCUGAUUUAUCCUUAUAGCCCCCACUGUAACUAAUUUUGUUAUUUCUCCGUAGACUUGUUAGACCAGAAUUAAUUCCUCUUCUACAAUGUUCUGAGCCCUUGCAGUGAGAAAGCUAGGGUGCCAGUGGCUGAAAGGGACAAAAGAGUAGGGCAGAGUACCAGCCUUGCAAAGCAUGAGUCUGGUUGUGGGGUGGAUGGAGCAGUAGUGAUGAAGACAGGUACGCAAAUAAUAACAAACCAGGCAGAGUAUGAUAAAUGUACAUGUGUGUAAGCAAAAGUAAGAGAGUUAGAGGAGGAAGUGAGUAAAUCUGUGUUGGUGAGCGUAGGGUGAUUACAACAUGAAAAGCUUCAUGGAAGAAGUCACCUUUGAGAUAGGCCUUUGAAGGAAAAGUGUGGAUUUUGACAGGUAAAGAUUAUGUAGGUGAGGUGGGAAGAUUGCUUCAGCCUAGGAGCUUGAGGGUGCACUGAGCUAUGACUGCACCUGUGAAUAGCCACUGCACUCUAGCCUGGGCAACAGAGCAAGACCCUAUCUCAAAGAGAAAAAAAAAAAACCACUUGUGUUCUGCAGAAAUGCUCAUCAGAGGUGAUUUGGGAGGUAUCUGUAGUGAUGAUGAGUUAAGCUUUAGCAAUGAACAGGAAGUGGUUGAUGUUAAGAAAAAAUAUAUACUGAGAAGAAAAAGGAGGUUCUAGAACUUUUGGGAAUACCAGCAUUGGGUGGACAAGAGGCAGGGCCUGCAAGUAAUUGGGUUUUGUUUGUUUUUUUUUUUUUGUUUUGAGAUAGGGUCUUGCUCUGUUUCCCAGGCUGUAGUGCAGUGGCAUGAUCAUGGCUUGCUGCAGCUUUGACCUCCCAGGCUCAGGCAAUCCUCCUGCCUCAGCUUCCCAAGUAGCUAGGACCACAGAAGCGUACCACUAUACAUGGCUAACUUAUUUUUUGUAGAAAUGGGGUCUCCCUGUAUUGCCCAGGGUGGUCUUGAACUGCUGACCUCAAGCAGUCCUCCUGCCUCAGCCUCCAAAAGUGCUGGGAUUGUAGGCCUCAGCCAUAGUGUCUGACCUUUUGUUUGUUUUUGGUCAGCUUUGAUGAGGUAUAAUUAACAUACCAUAAAUUCACCAUUUUAAGACAACAGUUUGAUAAAUGUUAAUACAGUUAUGUAACUACCACCACAAUCAUCAUAUAGUCUCUUUUCAUCAUACCCAGAAAGUUCCCUUUUAUGUCUUGGCUGUAAUCUUCUCCACCUGUUCCUUAGCCAUUAGCAACAACUGAUGUGCUUUUUAUCACCGUGGUUUUUACUCUAGAAUUUCAUGCAGCUAGAACCAUAGUUAUGUAGUCUUUGUGUCUGGCUUAUUUCGCUUAGCAUAAUGCUUUUGAGAUUCAUCCAUGUUGAAUCUCCAAAUAAUGAAUAAUAAUGCUUAUUAUUCAUUUUGCUUGUAAUGAAUAACCAUUGUGUUGUUUGAAUCAGUCGUUCAUUCCUUUUUAUUACUGAGUAGUAUGCCAUUGUAUGCAUAUAUUAUGAUGUACCUAUUCAUUCAUCAGAUGAUGGACAGUCGAGUUUCCAGUUUUUGGCUAUUAUGAAUAAAGACGCUAUAAAUACUGAUGACCAGGUCUUUAUGUAAUCAUGUAUUCUCAUUUUUCUGGGCAAAUACCUAAGGAGUAGAAUUGUUGCAUAUGUGCUAAGUACAGCGUGUGUUUAUGAUAAACUGCCAAGCAGUUUCCCAUGUCACAUUUCUACCAGCAGUGUAUGAGAGUUCUACACACUGGUGGUGACAUCCUCACCAAUACCUAGUAUUAUCUGUGUCUUUAAAUUGAGCCAUUUAUUGAAUUUGUAAUAGUAUCUUGUUGUGGUUUCAAUUUCCAUUUCCCUACUGACUAAUGGUGUUGAACAUCCUUUCAUGCGCUUUUUUGGCUGUUUAUGUAUCUUUGGUGAAGUGUCCAGAUAUUUUGCUCAUUUUAAAAAUUGAGUUUUCUUAUUGAGUUGUAAGGGUUCUUUUUAUAUAUUCUUGAUACACGUCUCAUUGGAUAUGUUUUACAAAAUAGUUUCUUUCAUCUUGGGGCUUGCCUUUUCAUUUUCUUAUUUAUGUAUGUGUUCAUCAUAUCUAAGUCUUUUCAUUUUCUUAACAGUGUUGUUUUUUUUUUUGAGACAGUUUUGCUCUUGUUGCCCAGGCUGGAGUGCAAUGGUACGAUCUCGGCUCACUGCAACUUCCACCUCCUGGGUUCAAGUGAUUCUCCUGCCUCAGCCUCCCAAGUAGCUGGAAUGACAGGCGCCCGCCACCAUGCCCGGCUAAUUUUUUGUAUUUUUAGUAGAGACGGGUUUCACCAUGUUGGCCAGGCUGGUUUUGAACUCCUGACCUCAGGUGAUCCACCAGCCUCAGCCUCCCAAAGUGCUGGGAUUACAGGCGUGAGCCACUGUGCCCGGCUAGCAAUACUUUUUGAAGGACAAAAGUUUUUAAUUUAGAUCAGGUCUAGCUUAUCAAUUUAUUGUGUGCUAUUUAAGAAAUCUUACCCAGGAUUGCUAAGAUUUUCUCCUAUGUUUUCUUCUAGAGACUUUUUAGUUUUAGCUCUUACGUUUCGGUCUGUGAAUCAUUUUGAGUUGAUUUUUGUAUAUGGUAUGAAAUUAGGGUCAAGGUUUAUUUUUCCUGUUUGCAUAUUCAGUUGGUCCAGCACCUUUUGUUGAAAAGAUUAUCCUUUUCCUAUUAAACUGCCUUGACACUUUAGAUAAGCAUCAGUUGGCCAUAUAUAUGUGGGUCUAUUUCUGUACCCUCAGUUCUGUUCUGUUGAUCUAUCUUGAUGAAAGUACCACUAUCUUGUUGCCACUACCACGUCUUGAUUACUAGUUACUAGUUUUAUAUUAAUAAUAAGCUUAAAAGUCAGAUAAUGUACAUCUUUAAUGUUUUCUCUAUCAGUUAGAAUUGUUUUGCUAUUCUCAGUCCAUUGCCUUCCUGCCUUGCAAGUUUCUGAGACUGUGAAAAGUGUUUUGCUUCUUUUGUUACCCAAUUGAGAUCAUUUAAUAAUCUUGAAAGAGUGGUUAGGAGGAAUGUAUUUUAUCAUAGCAACAAGACUUUUAAGAAGGAACUGAAUUGGCAAUUGGUUCAUUAAAACCUUCUGAGGUUUUAAUUUCUAAAAAGUUAGUAUGGGGCUGGGCGUGUUGGCUCACGCCUAUAAUCCUAGCACUUUAGGAGGCAGAGGUGGGAGGAUAGCUUGAGCCCAGCAGUUCAAGGCUUCAGUGAAUUAUGAUUGUGUCGCUGCCACUCCAGCCUGGGCAUCAGAACCAGACCCUGUGUCAAAAAAAAAAGAGAGAAAAAAAGAGCAUGAUAUACACCACGAUGUUGAUAAGAAGCAGCAUGAUUUAGUGGUUAAGGGGUCACCUGGCAGACUAGUCUGGUUUGAAUCCUUACUCUAUCAAUUACUGGCAGUUGUGACCUUGGGCUAUUUAGCCUCUCUGUACCUCCACUUCCCUUCCUGGAAAAUGGGGAUAAUACAAGUACUUUUUUCUUUUUAUUAGUUUUUUAAAUUUAAAUUUUAUUUUAUUUUUUGAGACAGGGUUGCUCACUUUGUUGCCCAGGGGCACAAUUAUGGCUCACUGCAGCCUCGUAGGCUUAAGCGAUCCUCCCAUCUCAGCCUCCCAAGUUGCUGAGACUAUAGGGGUGCACCACUAUGCCUGCCAAAUUAUUUUUUGUAGAGAUGGGGUCUCAUUAUGUCACCCAGGCUAGUCUCAAACUCCUGGGCUCAAGUGAGCCUCCCACCUUGGCCUCCCGAAGUGUUGGGAUUAUAGGCAUGAGCCACCACACGCAGCCCCUAUUUUAUAGAGUUGCUCUGAAGAGUAAAUAAUACAUGUAUUUUCUGCCACAUAGAAAGUGCUUCAGUGAAUUGUAACUGCUAUUAUUGCUUUGUUCACCUAGAGAAUGCUAAAAGCUUCAGAAUUUGAUAAACUCACUUAUAGGAACUUAAACUUACUUGCAGUAACUCGUUUAUUUCAGUUUUAGAAAGAUAGUUGUAGUGCUGAUUGGUUUUUUUCCAGUUCCUUGGUAGUUUUCUAACCUUUCUUUUCAUUGGUGAAUCUUUGGUAAUUUAUGUAUGUAUGUCAGUUUGGAUUUGUGCAUUGUACCAGGAGUGGAAAAAAAACAAUUGGCUUUUAGUGUUAUAAAUUUUUACCUUAAAUUAAUAAACAAAACAAAACUGCAGUUUUUCCUUUGCCAAUAUUUAGCUGGUUGAUCAGGAUUGUGAACUGGUGGUUCUAGAAUGCAAGUGAAAACCCAUUAGUUUGAUUUGAUUUUGUCUGUAGUUCUUUACUCACCGAAUAGGCACGUCUGUUUCCAGGUUUAUUUGACUAGUUCUCAUUAUUGAUGUAGCAAAAACAAUUUGCCAGCAAACUCAGCAAAUCUUUUCCUUUUCUAAGUGUACUUUCUUAAAUAGCAAUAAUAACAACGAAAAAGUUUUUUCUUUUUUAGCAGGAGUUCAAUUUUGCACAGCUAACCAUUGAUAAUUUGUGUGGUUUAAUGAAUAAGAGUACCAACAUCAAUCAUUCAGCUGAAUGAAGCCUUCUAGAAGUACAUGUGGCAGGAGUGGGGAGACCUGGACCACAGUGUACAUUUAAGUUUCAGUUAUAGAACUUUGCAAAUGGGCUCUUCCUCCUGCACUUUCAGAAAUGCCCUUGAGAAGUCUUUAUUGACACUUUCUCUUAUGAUUCUCUAAGUACUGUGUAUUGGGGGAGACAUGGGUUGGUAGACGUCGAGAGUUCAGUUUUAAACAUGAUGUGUUAGAGAUUCCUUUGGUACAUCUGAGUGGGUAUAUCAUGCUGGCAGUGGAUGUCCAGGUCUGGAGCUCAGGAGAAGUUUUGACUGGAUUCAUUAGCAUAUGAGAUAGGUAAAAGCCUUGGGAGUUGCUGGGAUCCAAAAAUGUAUGUACAUGAAGAGGAGGAGACUGAAGUGGACUGCAGAUAGAAUCCCUAGGAUAUAUCCACUGUGGUACCACCACACUUGCACUUGCUCACAUUAGGUCAGUUCAGAGUAAGAUAAUAUGUGAGAUUAAAUUAUAUUCAAUAUGCAUAAUGGACUACCUGGAUUCAGAUUGCUUAGCUUAAUUCAGGAAAUAUUUAUUGAGCUCCCUCUAUGUGCUUUACCUAUGCUAAUAAACACUAGGGAUAUAAGCAAAAUCGAUACUGCCUCUGCUCUGAUAGUCUUUAUAGACUAAUGUGAAAGAUUGUCUUUGCUGUUUUUACUCACAGCACUUCUGACAACAAGUGUGUGAGUUUUUUGCGUACACCAAUCAGUUCUUCAACUUUCCAGAUACCAACGGGCUGUCCCUGCAGUUCAUUUCCAUUCUGACACUAUCCAGAGUUAGCAUCAGACUACACAGGUUUAAGGGCUCAGUCCCACAAGACUACUCAUACUUCAGAUGCCAGUUGCAUGUAUUGAGUCCCACACUUCUGAAUUGCCUACAAACGGGGGAGUUCCUACAACUACCCCCUCACCUUUGAGUAAUUUGCUAGAAUGGCUCACAGAACACGGGAAAUAUCCUAUUUACAAUGACUGGUUUAUUAUAAAUGAUACAACUCAGGAAUAACCAAAUGGGAGAGAUGCAUAGGGCAAGAUACAGGGGGUAGGGGCAUGGAGUUUCUAUGCCUUUUCCUGACAUGCCACCCUCCCAGCAUCUUGAUGUGUUCACCAACCUGAAAGCUUUCUGAACCCUGUCUAGGGGUUUUUAUGGAAGCUGCAUUACGUAGGCUUGGUUGAUUAAAUCGUUGACCAUUGGUGAUUAACUCUAUCUCCACCCCUUUUCCUCUCCCUUGAGGUCUGGUGGUGGAACUGAAAGUUCCAACACUUUUAUCACUUGGUUGGUUUCUCUGGCAACCAGCCUUCAUCCUGAAGCUAUCUAAGGGCCCACUAAGAGUCACCUCAUUAGCAUAAACUCAGGUAUGGUUGAAAGGGGCUUGUUACGAAUAACAAAAGAUGCUCCUAUUCCCCUAUCACAAAGGAAAUUACGAACACCAAGUAUGUAUUUCUUAUGCCACAAAUGGACAUUAAACAAAUCGCACAAAUUAUAUAUAAUUGCAAACCAUGCAAGGUGCUAUGAAGGUAAAGUACUGGAUGCUGUGUGAACAUUUUGGGAGAGACCUAAUCUCACAUGGGUAUAGUCAGGGAUACCUUCCCAGAGGAAGUGACAUUUAAUUCAGCUAGUGAUACUGUUACUGAGUACCUAAUUAAUAUCUCUGGUACUGUACUGUUUAAACUGAUAUCUUGUGACUAAACAUUAACUGGGUGAAAGAGGAUGGAAUGGAGAAGGCAGGCUCUAAAUAAAGAGAACUGCCUGUGCAAAGUUCCUGAAAUACAAAGGAGCAUAGUGCCUUCCAGGAGUUAAGGAUCUCAGGCGUCUAUAGAAGAGAGAGCAAGGGGAGAGGUCAGUUCUUGGCCUUCUUGUCAGAGGAGAGAUUUUGUUCUUUAGAGUAAACCUAUUCUUCAGAAAAAUUUUAAACUCUUCCCCUUUGAAACAGACUUCAUUAACUUUUUAUUACAGAAAAAUAUUAACAAAUGCAUUAGUGGAGAGAAUAUUUCCCCAUACCCCAGUUUCUUUCUUCUUCUUUUUUUCUUAAGAGACUAGGUCUCACUGUCACCCAGGCUGAAGUGCAGUGGCAUGAUCACAGCUCACUGUAGCCUUGACCUCCUGUGGCUCAAGGGAUCCUCCUGCCUCAGCCUCCCCAGUAGCUAGGACUACAGGCAUAUACCACCACAUCUGGCUAACUAAAAAUAUUUUUUUCUGUAAAGAUGGAGUCUCACACUGUUGCGCAGGCUCAGGCUGGUCUCAAACUCCUAGCCUCAAGUGAUCCUCCCAAAAUGCUGGGAUUAUGGAUGGUAGCCACUGCACCUGGCCAUGUUUUAGAGUACCUUGAGUCUGAUUUAGGAAUGGCUCCUGAAACCUGCUUAGAGAAUUUCUCUGACUCCUUUCUGGGUUCUCUGCAAUUUUAGUUUUGCUUGCAGCUAUCCUUGUUAAGUGUUUGCCAUUAUUUUUUGGCAUUUUAUUGUCCUAUCAUUUUCCAUCUUCUGUCUUUUCCUCAAAUUCUAUAUUUUUCUUUGCUUUCAAAGCCUAGUCCCUUAAUAACUGAUCUCCACUACUACCCAUGGAGAUCAUAAUUUUCUUCCAGGGGUUUUGUAGAUCAUUGCCUCCUUUGGAUACUGGCAGAAAGGAUCAAUAUUUUUCUUUUUCUUUUUCUAUUUUUUUUUUUUUAGAGGCAGAGUCUUGCUCUAUCACCCAGGCUAGAGUGCAGUGGCACGAUCAUAGCUCACGGCAGCCUUGACCUCCUGGGCUCAAGUGAUCCUCCCACCUUAGCCUCCUGAGUAGCUGGGACUACAAGUGCAAGCCACCAUGCCUGGCUAAUUUUUUAAUUUUUGGAGAGACAGGGUUUUGCCAUAUUUCCCAGGCUGGUCUCAAACUCCUGGGCUCAACUGAUCCUUCUACCUCAGCUUCCCAAAAUGCUGUGAUUACAGACGUGAGCCACUGUGCCUGGCCAAUAGCUACUUUUUGUUAAAGCCUUAAGUAUCAGAACUGAACUGAGGAAAGAGAUAGGCAGAAGAGGGUGUCUCUGCUAAGCUACAGAGUUUAUAAUUUUGUUGAACAACUCCGUGUCAUUGACUGAUUUGAAGUUAACUUGUCUGAAAAUUAAAUGUGCAAGUAUGACCUAGUUCUGAAACGUAUCUUAAAAAGUAAGCCCAGAGAUGACGCUUUAAAAAAGUCAACUUCUUUUUUAAAAAAGAAAUUAUUUGUGCCCUUUUUGCUUUGAGUUUGGAAUUGGGACACCCCCAAACCUGAUGGUAAAAUAUCUUAUUUAUAAAUCCACUGAAGUAAGAAAUAGUAUGCAACCACUAAAUGCUUAGGGCGUAUAAAAAACUGACCUUAAUAUACCUAUGAGUUACCAUUUUGGUAGCCAAAAAUAUUUAAAUGUAGAAACUAGUAGUAAUUAAUUAGUUAAUUUAACAAACACUAUGAUGGUCUAGGUUGUAUGGCAGAGAAUUAAAAUAAGGUGGAAUCCAUUCCUCACAGUGAGGAGUGAGUGCAUUAUCUGUUAGGGGAGUGACAAUCCUAAAUAAUUGUAGGUCAAAGUGAGAGGUAUCCUGUUAGAGAAUUAGAAAGCACUAGUUUUCAAGUUCUGAAAAGCCCUGUAAGGUUUUUUUUUUUUUUUUGUAAAGUUUGAAGAUAUGAAGAGGAAGGACUUUAGUAAGUGAAGGAGAAGAGGAUAGAAGCAGUGGUUUGAAGGCUUGGAAUGACUUGGUGGUUUUAAGAACUUGUAAGAUUUUCUUAAGUGUCUGUUACGUAGGUGGGAGAGGGUAGAAGAAAAUUACCUGGAAAACACUUUAAUUCCUGAUUGUAAAGAGGCAGUUGUUGGUUAAAAGUAAUUAGUCUUUAACUGGUUAAGCACUGAGUAGUCAUUUGGGGUUUUCACUAAGGGAGUAACAUCAGAUUUUGGUUUGUAGAAAGAUGGAGGAUACACUAGAACUGGGGAGAACCUGCUAUCAGGGAGCUGAAUAAGGAAGCUACAGCAAGGAGAGAAUUUUCAGUUAAAUUUUAUCCUAAAGCACUGAUUCUGGGGUUGAAGGGAGAAGUAGCAGGUGGUAGUGUCACACUUCUCUAAAAUAAGUGCUUUAGUGAGGUUGGGUGGGGCUGGGGACUUGGACAUGUGUGUUUUGACAAGUUCUAACACUUGAUUCUCAUUCACAUCCACUCAACAUUUAGAGUUAAUUUUUCCAGGGAGUGAUAUUAUGGGGCAGUGAAAAUAGCACUGGACUUCAGAAUCUGGGGACUUAUAUUCACAUCCUGACUCUGCCAUUCACCUUGCAUGUAAUCUUGUUGUACUGUUUAAUUUUUUGAAAAUUGUUUUAUGUUAUUAAUAACUAUCUUACGGAUUUUUGUGAUAAUUCAGUUGAAGUUCUGAAAUCUCAUAGGUAUACAGUAAACAUUUUGUAAUCUCCUGACAGGUUUUCCCUGCCUGCUGCGCAGACAAAAUCAAUUAACAGAGACCACUACAUUGCAGUAAAGGAAGAGUUUAAUUGACAGGAGGCUGGCCAUGCCAUGCAUGAGACAGAGUUAUUAUUCAAAUUGAUGUAUUUCCCCAAAGGCUUGGAGUUUAGGGUUUUCAAGGAUAGUUUGAUGGGUGGGGGACUAGGGAAUGGGGAAUGUUGAUUGGUCAGGGAAAAAAAAAUGAUUGGAGUGUGAAAAACAGUCCUGGUGUGAUGAGUCUGCCUCUGCAUAGGGCCACAGGAUGUUAAGUCUUGAGGCAGGAGUCCAGGUGGGGUCAUUCUGAAAGAUAACACAAAAAAACCAAUCUUAGAUUCUAUUAUAAUGAUUUUCUCUAUAAGAGUAAUUGAGGAAGUGACAAAUAUUGUGACCCUUGGCCACAUGACUCCUGAACAGUAAGGAAUGAUAGAAGAAGCUAUACUUGUCUUGUGACCUCUAGCCAUAUGACUCCUGAGCAGUAAGGGAUGAUAGAAACUAUGCCUACACCUUAGCAGAAUUCAGGCCCCUCUCAUAAUCCUAACCUUGUGGCCUUUCAUUAGUUUUAUGAAGGUGGUUUAGUUUUGGGAAAGGUUAUUAUCAUCCUUGCUUUAAGGUCAAACUAUAAAUUUCUCUGAAAAUCAGCUUGGUCUUGUAAACUAAAAAUAAAAUUCUAAGCUCUCUAACCAUCUGAAUGGCCCCCUCCUCUCAGCAAGCAUUCCAAAGUUAACCUGAUAAACUAGUUCCGGCCAUGAUGGAAAGGGGGAGCCAGAUAUGCCUCAUAAUACCCUCCUCUCUUUUGGAAUUACUGAUAGAACAAGACUCUUUAAGUCUGAUAAGAAACAUUUACAAUCUGUUCUCUGAAGCCUGUUACCUGGAGGCCUCAUCUGCAUGAUAAAACCUUGGUCUCCAUAACCCUUUAUUGUAACACAGACAUUUCUUUCUUUAGAUAAUAAUUCUUUCAACCAAUUGCCAAUCUGAAAACCUUUCAAUGUAUCUAUGACCUGAAAGCUUCUGCUUCAAGUUGUCCAGCCUUUCUGGACUGAAUCAAUGGACAUUUUACAAGUAUUGAUUGAUAUCCCAUGUCUCCCUAAAAUGUAUAAAAUCAAGCUGUCCCUGACCACCUUGGGUACAUGUCAUCAGGACCUCCUGAGUCUGUAUCACAGGCAUGUCCUUAACCUUGGCAAAAUAAACUUUCUAAAUUGAUUGAGACCUAACUCAGCUAUUUUUGGUUUACAGUCUACACCCCGGAAUGAUCGAUGAUGGAGGUUAGAAGCGAAAUGGACUUAACUGUGUCAAAUUUCUCUUACUGUCAUAAUUUUGCAAAGAUGGUUUCAGUUUUGUGAGUUUAAGUUUUAAUUUAGAAUUUACAUUAGAAACUACUGAAUUUAGUCACAUUUCAGUAGUACCCUUAUCCACAUAUUAAAUGAAAUAGAAACUUAUUAAAAGUUGCAGAAGAUGUAACUGUUGGAAAAUAUGUUGGCAUAUGGACUUAAGGGAUGAUACCCUUUAGUAGUGGACUAAAUUUAGUUUAAAAAAUAUAAUUAAUUUAUUCUACUUGUAAAAAAUAAAGGUUCCUCUUCAAAGAUUUUCCUCCCUAUUUAACUAGGAAUAAAUAGUAACUUCUCUUAGAAGCAAAAUUUAUUUAAAGACCUGUGCUAACAUUCUUAAAAAUCUGCUAGCUGUGAUAAAGAAAUCAAUGUACUUUAUGUUCUUAGCUCCCACAAUUUAGCCUAAAUAUUUGCCCUGGCAUGCUUAUACUGGUUCAAGCAAGCAUUAGGUCGUAGCCUGUUCCUCUUCCUUAUUUAAAGGUAUUUUUACCUUUCUCAGCAUUCCACAAGUUAACUUCCUGCUUCCUUGAUUCUCCUCUGCCUUUGCCUCUUUUAAAAAGUUCUGAGUUGCUAGCCAGUCGGGACAAAUACAGAAUGUCAGGUCCCGUUCCAGCCAGUGGAAACUGGACACAGCAGUAGGGUGGACGCGUGAGAUUAUAAAUGACCCUGUCUCUUUUGUUCGGUGUACUCUCGUGGCAGAACUGCUGGCGAGUAUACCCUUUCUGCAGAAAGUAUAAAAAUGGCCUUGCUGAGUAAAUUAAAUUUAUGUUCAAGUGCUAUUUCUUUGUGGCACCAGGGAACAAGCAUUUCAAACAUACUGCUGGUUCAAAUGGGCAAACAUGAAAUAUCUUCAGAGUAAUUCAAAAUAGGAACCUUUUGUAUCAGAGCUUUUCUAUUUGAUUGAAAAUAAAAUCAAGCCACUUAAAAUUCCAAUUAAAUGUUAAUUUUCUUAUAUUAAACUGAUAUUUUUUCCUCUCAAUUUUAUCUCUACUUCUGCAAUCUUAGGUGCUAUCAACAUCUCUCAUACACAUUUCUGAAAUCUGUUUUUAUUGGUUAUUUUAUUUUAAAAUUAUCACUACUCUUUAUCUACUUUGAACUUCUUUUUCCAAAAUGAUAAAUGCAAGCAGAAUAUUUUAAUAAAACCAUUGAAAAAGGCAAGCUUUAGUAACUAAGACAAUUGACCCAGUUUUUCCUUCCUCAGAAUUUUAAGAUCUUUAAAGCAGAAACUUGUGCUUUAAAACUGUAUUGAUACAUUUAAAAAUGAUAUAAUUUGUAUGUCAUUUAAAUGUUCAAGUAGGAAAAAGGAUGAUUAUUCCUUUACUUUUUUUUUUUUUUUUUUUUUUGAGACAGAGUCUUGCUCUGUUGCCCGGGCUGGAAUGCAGUGGCACAAUCUUGGCUAACUGCAACCCCCGCCUCCCAGGUUCAAACAAUUCUCCUGCCUCAGCAGCCUGAGUAGCUGGGACUACAGGUACACACCACCACGCCUGGCUAAUUUUUGUAUUUUUAGUAGAGAUAGAAUUUUGCCAUUUUGGCUAGGAUGGACUUGAACUCCUGACCUCAGGUGAUCCGCCCACCUCGGCCUCCCAAAGUGCUGGGAUUUUAGGUGUGAGCCACUGAACCCUUUACGUGUUUUUCUUAAACUGCUGGGUAUGGGGAGUGGGAAAGUAGGGAUCUUAGCUGUUCUAAGAUGAAAGAGUGGCAUCUCCUGCUAGAGUCCCAGUUGUAAUGGGUGGUAGGUGAGAUAUUGUAAAAUAUAUAUUUGGUCUUCCUCAUGUCUCCUGGAAUAUAACUCCUAAAAUCUUUGGAAUCUCCAAAGUGAUCUGUGUCUUUUUGUGUGCUAAUGAAUUUGCUGAUGCCUGGUCACCUCUGGUUAGCUUCAGGAUUGGGGCUGGUCACUGGAAAGACUGAGCCAUGAUUAGAGGGUUAGUACUUUCAGCCCCAUCCCCAACCUCUGGGAAGGGGAGGAAAGAAGGGCCAAAGAUUGAGUUGAUCACUCAGUGAUUCAACCAGUAAUAGCUAGUAAUGAAGCUUCCAUAGAACCACAAAAAGACUGGGUUCAGGUGUUACAGGAAAGGGGUUCUGAUCCAGACCCCAGGAGAGGGUUCUUGGAUCUCACGCAAGAAAGAAUUCAGGGCGAGUCUAUAGAGUAAAGUGAAAGCAAGUUUAUUAAGAAAGUAAAGGAAUGAAAGAAUGGCUACUCCAUAGACAGAACAGCCCCAAGGGCUGCUGGUUGCUCAUUUUUAUGGUUAUAUGUUGAUGAUAUGCUAAACAAGGGGUGGAUUAUUCAUGCCUCCCCUUUUUAGACCAUAUAGGGUGACUUCCUGACAGUGCCAUGGGAUUUGUAAACUGUCAUGGCGCUGAUGGGAGUGUAGCAGUGAGGACAACCAGAGGUCACUCUCAUGGCCAUCGCAGUUUUGGUGAGUUUUAGCCAGCUCCUUUACUGUAACCUGUUUUAUUAGAAGGUCUUUAUGACCUGUAUUUUGUGCUGACCUCCUAUCUCAUCCUGUGGCUUAGAAUGCCUUAACCGUCUGGGAAUGCAGCCCAGUAGGUCUCAGCCUCAUUUUACCCAGCUCCUACUCAAGGUGGAGUUGCUUUGGUUCACACAUCUCUAACACAGGGAACUUCCAGAUAGCUGAACCCAUAGAGGUUCUGUACUGGAAAGGGGUCCCUAUCCAGACCCCAAGAGAGGGUUCUUGGAUCUUGCGCAAGAAAGAAUUCAGGGCGAGUCCACAGAGUAAAGUGAAAGUGAGUUUAUUAAGAAAGUAAAGGAAUAAAGAAUGUCUGCUCCAUAGGCAGAGCAGCAGCAAGGGCUGCUCCACUAAGGAUAGUUAUAGUUAUUUCUUGAUUAUAUACUAAACAAGGGGUGAAUUAUUCAUGAGUUUUCUGGGAGAGGGGUGGGCAAUUCCCGAAACUGAGGGUUCCUCCCCCUUUUAGACCAUAUAGGGUAACUUUCUGACAUUGCUAGGGCAUUUGUAAACUAUCAUGGCACUGUUGGGAGUGUGUUUUAGCAUACUAAUGCAUUAUAAUUAGUGUAUAAUGAGCAGUAUGGACUACCAGAGGCCACUUUCGUGGCCAUCUUGGUUUUGGUGGGUUUGGGCCAGCUUCUUUACUGCAACCAGUUUUAUCAGCGUGGUCUUUACGACCUGUGUCUUGUGCCGACCUCCUGUCUCAUCCUGUGAUUUAGAAUGCCUAACCUCCUGGGAAUUCAGCCUGGUAGGUCUCAGCCUUAUUUUACACAGUCCCUACUCAAGAUGGAGUUGCUCUGGUUCAGACGCCUCUGGCAGUUCCUGGAGGGUGGCAUCCCCAGAGAGGGCGUGAAAGCCCUGGGCCCCUUGCCCCAUAUCCUGCCCUAUCCUCUUCAUCUGGUGUUCAUUGAUACCCUUUGUAAUAGCCUUUAUUAUAAACCCAUAAAUGUAAGUAUAAGUGUUUCCCUGAGUUCUGUGAACUGCUCUAGAAAGUAAUCAAACCCCAGGAGUGCGGUGUGGGAACCCUGCUUUAUAGCUAGUUGGUCAGAAGCACAGAUAAAACAACCUGGGGCUUGCGAUUGGAAUCAGAAGUGGGAGACAGUUUUCUAGGACUGAGCCCUCAACCUGUGAGAUCUGUUGCUGUCUCCUGGUAAGUAGUGUCAUAACUGAAUUGACUUAGAAGACACCCAGCUAGCGUCUGCUGCAAGAUUGCUUGCUUGGCGUGUGGAGAAAAUCUCCCACACAUUUGGUCACAGAAGUGUUCUGUGUUGUGAGAGUCUAAUAGGAAGAAACUGAGUUCUUUCGUUCUAUAUCAUCCAAGAAGGUAAUACUAAAUAUUAUUUUACAUUAAAACCACACCAUAUAUUAUGAAGAAAAAUGCCAAAAUUGUAGGAGUUUAAAGUAAUUUCUUGCUUAAAAGGGAAUUAGUUGGGGAUACUCCAAACUCCUGGAAGCACACGUUCAUUCUGCUUUGCUGAUAGGGUUGUAUCUGGAAAGGGUUUUGAAAAGUCAGUAAUAUCUUCUGCACUAGAAGUUAUUUAUAUUCUUUUUGUAUUCCUUCCAGAGGUGGAUAGAAUGUAGUAAGAACCAAUUUUGUGUGUUGAACAUUUGGGUUUCAUUUUCAUAUUAUUUUAGAAGUGGAAAGGACUUCGGAGAUUAUUUUAUUCAAAUCCCUUAUUUUUUAGAUGAGGCCUGGAGAAGAGGGUAUGUGUUCUUGCCCAAGAUCAUUUCUUGGGUAUUAGAACUUUAAUUUCCUGAUACCAUCUAAUAUUUAUUGAAUUGCACUGGUCUCUUUGUAGCUAAGGUAGGAGAUUAGAAACUGGUUUAAGACAUUAAGGUUGGAGAAUAUUGGUCAAUUGAAUAUAAAGCUAUCAAUCAGUGAACCUACUAUGUACUUUAUUGGAAUUUUUGGAAAAAUGAAAAAUUAAAUCAGUUAUCAAUUAUUACACUUUGCCCCCAACUCAGACAGUUGCUGAUAACAAGAAUUACACUGGAAAGCAGUUGAUUAAAUCAGUGAUUUUGUUUUUGAACAGUUGUGUGGGGCAUCAAUAUAGGAGAUGUUACUGCCAACAGAUAAUUAUUUAGCUUUGAAAUAAAUGGUUUGAAAACUUGCUUUUAUAAAAUAUUUGAAGAAAUAUCAACUUCUUUAUUCUUAGUAAGGAAAAAAUUCAUUCUAAAUUUUCACAUUGAGAGAGGGACUGCUGAUUAUAGUUGGUGUGAAUGGGCUUACAGCUUAAAACAUUUAGACAUCGAAUUGAUUUUAAGUGUUUUAGAACUGAAGGAACCUGGAUUUGCAAUUUGAACUCCCUCGAAGAAUUGUUUUUUACUUUCAUUUGCCACAACAUAAUGUGUUAAAGAAAGAACUAGGCAGAAUUUAUCCAGUAACUAAAAGUUUUAUUGGAAAUGUUACUAGUUGGAUGUUCUAUUUUGUUCUUUGAACUUCCCUCUGCUGAUCUUGUUUUGAAAAAGAUCAUCCCUUAUGUUUGGCAAAUCUUGCUGCAUUGAUGAUUCAUCUUUCUGUUUGUACAAGGCAUCUUCAGAAUAUACACAGAGCUCGUAUUUGUAAUAUAUGUAUACGUACAUAUAUACAUAUAAAUCUGAAAAUUUUUGAGUCCCAGCAUAAUAUACCAAGGAGAUGCUCAUUGGAACAUUUCAGAUUUUGGAUUUUCAGAUCAGAGAUGCUCAACCAGCAACAAUGCAAAUAUUCCAAUAAUCUGUACAUACACACAAUGAGAAGUUAUUAAGUAAAACUAUCUCAGAGUGUCUGGGGGAGAAGGUUGAUAGAUAUGUCAUCUCUCAGGUAUUUAUCCCCAAACUGCAAAUUUCUGUAUGUCCGAGGAAAGGACAAACCCAUUAAACCUACUUUAUUAUUUAUUUUCCAAACUUUCUGUGUUUUAGUUAGAAGCGUGAUAGAUACAGUCAACCCUUUGAAAAACUUUUUUAGGAUUUUUUGUUGUUAAAAUGAUGUUCGUAAAAACAAGCCUUCUAUAAAGAUAUCUUUCAGUUUUUAUAUACCCAAAUUAAAAGAAUAAUAGGAUAGGGAUUAUAACUUUUGAUUAUAUUACAAUUGAAAACAAUAUGGUCAUACAAACUUUUUUUGUUUUUCCUUUCCUUGAGAAAAAUUUAAGACUGAAGAGAAGUACAGAGAAUUAAAAAAAAAAAAAAGAAAACCCUACUGUGUUUCUUCUGCCAGCAUUUAACAAGUGUUUAUGCAGUCAUUUUUAAACUUAAAGAAAGGGAAACAUAACACACAAAGUUGAUGUCCUGUUUGAUACCCACCAACCCCCUGGGCAAUCACUAUCCUGAGUUUGGGUGUCUAUUAUUCUAGUAUUUAAAAAGUACUUUUUAAAAAAAAAAUUUUUUUUUGAGACGGAGUCUUGCUGUGUCGCCCAGGCUGGAGUGCAGUGGUGCGAUCUCGGCUCACUGCAAGCUCCGCCUCCCUGGUUCAUGCCAUUCUCCUGCCUCAGCUUCCCAAGUAGCUGGGACUACAAGGCGCCCGCCACUACCCCCGGCUAAUUUUUUGUAUUUUGGUAGAGACGGGGUUUCACUGUGUUAGCCAGGUUGGUCUCGAUCUCCUGACCUCGUGAUCCGCCCGCCUCGGCCUCCUAAAGUGCUGGGAUUACAGGCAUGAGCCACCGCGCCUAGCCUAAAAAGUACUUUUACAUACAUCUCCAUUUCUACAACCAAUAUUGGUGGUAGAGAUAGCAAUAAUAAAAUGAUAAUGAUCAUAAUAGCAGCUUACGUUUAUUGAGUAUGUACUGAGUUCCAGGAGAUGAGUCCAAGAACUUUAUAUGUGUUAUAUCAUGUAGCCCUCAUGGCAAUGAUAGAGGUUCUUUUAUUAUCCAUUAUAUUACAGAUAAGGAAAUUGAGCCAUGGGGAAAUUAAGCAACUUGCCCCAGUCAGCUAGUAAAUGGUAUAGCCUAGAUUCAAACCUAGCUGUUCUGACAGACUUUUUGGGGUUUUCCUUUUAACUUACAUAGUUUGAUUCCUCUAAUAUUGUUUGUGUGAUCUUCAUCUUCUUUCUAGUAUUUAGCUGGAUUCUUCUGAUGGGUUUUUGAGGUAUUCAGUAUCAUGUAAAUAAUAAAAAUGUCUAGAAUAUAUAAUACAUUUAUUUAUUUAUUUAUUUAUUUAUUUAUUUAUUUUGAGACAGGGCUCGCUUGGUCGCCCAGGCUGGAGAGACCUGGGUGGCAUCAUCUCGGCUCACUGCAACUUCCACCUCCCGGGUUCAGGUGAUUCUCCUGCCUCAGCCUUCCAAAUACCUGGGAUUACAGGUGCCCGCCACAACGCCUAGCUAAUUUUUGUAUUUUUAGUCGAGAUGGGGUUUCACCAUGUUGGCCAGGCUGGUCUCGAACUCCUGACCUUGGGUGAUCUGCCUGCCUCGGCUUUCCGAAGUGCGGGGAUCACAGGCGUAAGCCACCAUGCCGGACCUCAGUUUCAUUAUUGAUAAUAGUGGUGACAAGUGGGCACUCUUAUAUUCUACUUGACUCUAGAGUCAAUACUGCUAAUGGUUUUGUUUUGUGAUAUAUAAUUUUAAAUCAUUUAAAAAAACCUUUUGGCCGGGCGCGGUGGCUCACGCCUGUAAUCCCAGCACUUUGGGAGGCCGAG
Molecule: long non-coding RNA, 37390 nt
Filed under: Homo sapiens (human)
Lineage: Eukaryota; Metazoa; Chordata; Mammalia; Primates; Hominidae
Description: non-protein coding lnc-DAPK2-3:2
Source: RNAcentral